GAGGGUAUAGCUCAAGUGGUAGAGUGUAUGCUUAGCAUGCAGAAGGUCCUGGGUUCAAUUCCCAGUACUUGCU
This 73-nucleotide transfer RNA is filed under the name Camelus dromedarius (Arabian camel). It matches the Rfam family "tRNA". Rfam says of the family: Transfer RNA (tRNA) molecules are approximately 80 nucleotides in length. Their secondary structure includes four short double-helical elements and three loops (D, anti-codon, and T loops). Lineage: Eukaryota; Metazoa; Chordata; Mammalia; Artiodactyla; Camelidae. RNAcentral also lists the same sequence under 1 other name. The record is from Rfam by way of RNAcentral.